Molecule: transfer RNA, 77 nt
Filed under: Candidatus Pelagibacter sp.
Lineage: Bacteria; Pseudomonadati; Pseudomonadota; Alphaproteobacteria; Candidatus Pelagibacterales; Candidatus Pelagibacteraceae
Description: tRNA-Arg
Rfam family: tRNA
About the family: Transfer RNA (tRNA) molecules are approximately 80 nucleotides in length. Their secondary structure includes four short double-helical elements and three loops (D, anti-codon, and T loops). Further hydrogen bonds mediate the characteristic L-shaped molecular structure. tRNAs have two regions of fundamental functional importance: the anti-codon, which is responsible for specific mRNA codon recognition, and the 3' end, to which the tRNAs corresponding amino acid is attached (by aminoacyl-tRNA synthetases). tRNAs cope with the degeneracy of the genetic code in two manners: having more than one tRNA (with a specific anti-codon) for a particular amino acid; and 'wobble' base-pairing, i.e. permitting non-standard base-pairing at the 3rd anti-codon position.
Source: RNAcentral
GCGCUUGUAGCUCAAUUGGAUAGAGCGCCUGACUUCGGAUCAGGAGGUUGAGGGUUCAAGUCCUUCCGGGCGCACCA